AUGGAGACAGAGUCUUGGGGAAGCCCUGCUGUGGCUGAGCUUGGCUUCUCAGGAAAAGGGCUGAUGAGGAAACUGAGAUCCAAGCAGUUACCUGACCUGUCCAAGUGAUCACACUAGCAUGUGGAAGAGGCAAAUUAAAACCUAGGUCCUCAGACACCUAAUCUAGAAUUCUUUCCCCUACAUCAUUUAGCAAUACAGAAGAUUGGGAAAUAUUUUAGAUGCUUUGGGAUAAACAUUUGAAUUUAGAAAGUGUAAAAUUAUGUCACUCUGUGUUUCUCCAAUCCAAUUCUCAUAAAAAUGCAUGCUCUC
Molecule: long non-coding RNA, 309 nt
Filed under: Monodelphis domestica (gray short-tailed opossum)
Lineage: Eukaryota; Metazoa; Chordata; Mammalia; Didelphimorphia; Didelphidae
Description: lncRNA (ENSMODG00000035364.2)
Source: RNAcentral